AUGUGUGUCCCAAAAAAUCAAGUAGGCAUGGGUUUUACAUAUAUUCAUUGCUUUAAUUUAGCCUUGUUGGCCAAACCGACAUGGAGGCUUAUUAAUAAUCCAGAUUCCCUGUGUCCACGUAUUUUGGAAGCAAAGUAUUUUCUGGAUGGUGAAUUAUUAAAUUGCAAGCUGAAUAACCCUUUAUAUACCUGGCAAAGCAUAAUGCAAGGUGUUAAAACUUUGAGACAUUUAGAAGCAUUAUAA
This 243-nucleotide ribosomal RNA is filed under the name Triticum aestivum (bread wheat). RNAcentral's name for it is "partial small subunit ribosomal RNA". Lineage: Eukaryota; Viridiplantae; Streptophyta; Magnoliopsida; Poales; Poaceae. The record is from RNAcentral.